Molecule: ribosomal RNA, 790 nt
Filed under: uncultured archaeon
Lineage: Archaea
Description: bacterial SSU rRNA
Rfam family: Archaeal small subunit ribosomal RNA
Source: RNAcentral
ACGGCUCAGUAACACGUGGACAACCUGCCCUUAGGACGGGGAUAAACCCGGGAAACUGGGUAUAAUACCCGAUAGGUCUCGAUUGCUGGAAUGCAUCGAGAUUUAAAGCUCCGGCGCCUAAGGAUGGGUCUGCGGCCUAUCAGGUAGUAGUGGGUGUAGCGUACCUACUAGCCUACGACGGGUACGGGUUGUGAGAGCAAGAGCCCGGAGAUGGAUUCUGAGACACGAAUCCAGGCCCUACGGGGUGCAGCAGGCGCGAAAACUUUACAAUGCUGGCAACAGCGAUAAGGGAACCUCGAGUGCCAGGUUACAAAUCUGGCUGUCGAGAUGCCUAAAAAGCAUUUCAUAGCAAGGGCCGGGCAAGACCGGUGCCAGCCGCCGCGGUAACACCGGCGGCUCGAGUGGUAACCGUUAUUAUUGGGUCUAAAGGGUCUGUAGCCGGCCGGAUAAGUCUCUUGAGAAAUCUGGCAGCUUAACUGUCAGGCUUUCAGGAGAUACUGUCUGGCUCGAGGCCGGGAGAGGUGAGAGGUACUUCAGGGGUAGGGGUGAAAUCUUGCAAUCCUUGAAGGACCACCAGUGGCGAAGGCGUCUCACCAGAACGGACCUGACGGCAAGGGACGAAAGCUAGGGGCACGAACCGGAUUAGAUACCCGGGUAGUCCUAGCCGUAAACGAUACUCGCUAGGUGUCGGCCACGGUGCGACCGUUGUCGGUGCCGUAGGGAAGCCGUGAAGCGAGCCACCUGGGAAGUACGGCCGCAAGGCUGAAACUUAAAGGAAUUGGCGGGGGAG